This 21-nucleotide non-coding RNA is filed under the name Caenorhabditis elegans. Lineage: Eukaryota; Metazoa; Nematoda; Chromadorea; Rhabditida; Rhabditidae. The record is from RNAcentral.
UGUUUCAGAUUUAAACAGAUU